GCAUAUCAAUAAGCGGAGGAAAAGAAACCAACAGGGAUUGCCUCAGUAGCGGCGAGUGAAGCGGCAAGAGCUCAGAUUUGAAAUCGUGCUUUGCGGCACGAGUUGUAGAUUGCAGGUUGGAGUCUGUGUGGAAGGCGGUGUCCAAGUCCCUUGGAACAGGGCGCCCAGGAGGGUGAGAGCCCCGUGGGAUGCCGGCGGAAGCAGUGAGGCCCUUCUGACGAGUCGAGUUGUUUGGGAAUGCAGCUCCAAGCGGGUGGUAAAUUCCAUCUAAGGCUAAAUACUGGCGAGAGACCGAUAGCGAACAAGUACUGUGAAGGAAAGAUGAAAAGCACUUUGAAAAGAGAGUGAAACAGCACGUGAAAUUGUUGAAAGGGAAGGGUAUUGCGCCCGACAUGGGGAUUGCGCACCGCUGCCUCUCGUGGGCGGCGCUCUGGGCUUUCCCUGGGCCAGCAUCGGUUCUUGCUGCAGGAGAAGGGGUUCUGGAACGUGGCUCUUCGGAGUGUUAUAGCCAGGGCCAGAUGCUGCGUGCGGGGACCGAGGACUGCGGCCGUGUAGGUCACGGAUGCUGGCAGAACGGCGCAACACCGCCCGUCUUGAAACAC
Molecule: ribosomal RNA, 602 nt
Filed under: Pichia kudriavzevii
Lineage: Eukaryota; Fungi; Ascomycota; Pichiomycetes; Pichiales; Pichiaceae
Description: eukaryotic LSU rRNA
Rfam family: Eukaryotic large subunit ribosomal RNA
Source: RNAcentral